Molecule: long non-coding RNA, 364 nt
Filed under: Homo sapiens (human)
Lineage: Eukaryota; Metazoa; Chordata; Mammalia; Primates; Hominidae
Description: HSALNT0067658
Source: RNAcentral
GAAAACUUUGGGAAGAUUACAAACCCUGAAAAAUGAAGACUUGGUGGCUUGCAGUUCCUUCUCCUUCUCCAAGAUGAGGCUGCUGUGAAGUUCUGCUUCAAGGUCUGAUGGUCGUCAAUUCUUCCAAGCCAAAGCCAGGAAUGCCACUUCUACCAUCUGCAUAGUGCCAUAUACACAGAAGAAAUCCAGCCAGCAGAGGAAACAGAUUGCCUAGCAGAAGCCAGAGGGUGACCACCAGGCUCGAGGAACAGGAACAAAGAUCUAGAGUUGAAAACAAAAAACUGACUUUCUAUAAACAAUUUUGGGAUAAAUCAUACCAAUUAAAUAUUGACAGAUGAAGAGCAGUGAUUAUUAAAAAGUAAAC